AAAAAGGCUGCAGGAGAAACCCACUUCCAAUCUUAAAACUCCCUUUUCAAUGACAACACCAAGAGGCAUAAAAAAUUAGAAAGAGAAUCAUUUAAUACCAUAAUGAAAAUGCCAAUGACAAAUGAAUUCGCGCCAAAAUACAUAACGAUCAAUGAGAUUCAGUCCAUAAUUGCAUACAUCAGACAAAAGAUUCAAGAGUUCCCUGUUUGAAUCCUGGAACUCAUUAGACAAUAGUUUUCCUGACAGCAUAAUUAACAAAUUAAAAAACCAAUAUCAUGUUGAAACCAUAAAGCUGCAAAUUUGACACUUGAAAGUACAGUAUCUACAUAUCAGAUGGCAACAGAGCAAAAAGCCUAAAAAUAUGCUAAGGCAAAUGCACAAUUCAAUAACCCAUUUUCAUUUUUGAACUCUAAUGUUGAAAGUGUGAAACUAGAAGUUUUGUAUCUACAAAGCAGAUGGCAAAUAACAGGCCACUAAUGAUAAUCAGGGGAAGCCGGGAAGUCUAACAUGAGAGACUAUAAUGCUGAACCUGAAAAAGAGAGAAUAGAGGGCUUUAAUGCGCUCGAGAAAAUUGACAUCAGUAUUAGCACACAAUCAUGCAUAAGACGCUUCCCCGAACUAGAAAUAACUUCUCGCAUUCAUCUUAACUUUCUUCUUCAAGGACACCCUUCUACCUAUUUACUGCAGUUACUCCAUUAUCCUUGCCUAAUCCCAGUUUCAUUAGCAGCAGGAACUUUUUCAGGGUAAUUGGACAAGUCCAUGUCAAUAAGUGACAUGUCAUAUGGUACAGAUAAAGAAUUUGAAGCAUCCACAAGCAGUGAAGAUUUCAUGGUAUCAGAAUUUGCAGAAUCAGGCACUGAAGUGAUAUUUUUGGGAGUGCUUGUACCAGAAGAAGAGUGACUGGAGAGUUGAAUUUCAUCCAGCUUGUUUCCAAACAUGUGUUUGUUUCUUCUGACAGCAUCCAUCUCCUGUCCAGUUGGCACAAAGGUGCGUGAGCGAUACUUUCUUGUUCCCUCAUCACCCUCACUAUGGUUGUAAAGCACAUAAUCAUGAUAAGUUGGUGCAAACUGAUGAACAGUAUCAUGAUAAAAGUCAUUUAACUUCAAGGCAUGAGCAAGACUUCCUGUUAAACCGCAAGAUCCACCGAUAUUUGCACCAGCAUACUCUUUGUAUGGGAAUGCAAAAAGAUGACCAACAGCAGCUAUAAGCAUCUCAACACAUAUGAUAAAAUUUUGAAACUGAGCAGCUUCCUCUGCAUUCUUUAUGAAUCCAGAUUUUGCAGCCAGAAAAACCAAAACUCCCUGCCAGUAAGUUAAGAAAACAACAGACUUAAUCAUAAUAAACUUGGGAACUGGAUUGAAGGGCUGAAGCAGAUCCCUGCAUGCGACAUAAAAUAAUGCCAAAGCAUACAGAGCCAUUGUGUAUGAGAUUGUAUAGGUGAUGGUAAGAUAUAGGUAUGCUUGGUUCGGACUGAAAUUUCCAUCUUUAUAUUUCCCUUUUGCAUAAAGUAUAAGAGUAACAGCAACUAAGAUAGGCUUCAGAAUCACAAACUGCAAACACCCCUGCUUACACCUCCUUAUAAAUCGCCCAUCUAGUGGUAUUGGAGGUAAGCAACAUGUCAUCAGACACAUGGAUGGCCUCAGAACCCGACCACUUAAACUUAGAACAACUGCUCCAGGGCCACCAACCCAAGCCAGGCAUAAAGACAGGAAAUUAUAGAUAACCCAAGCUUCAUAAACUUCUCUUAUGGAAUUGAAAUAGAUUGAACUCGUAGGCAAAAUGAGAGAUAAAAAAGACAUUAACGCAUAAAUCUGUCCACAGAAUAAAUAAAAGGGGGAAAAAAACCAACCCUAGUUAGAGAUAUAGCAAAACAAUAUAUGAAUAAAUUAAUAUUCAUAAAGUACAGUCUACCACACACUCUUAACCCCAUCCCAUGUAGAAAGCAAAAUGCAGAGAAUGGAAAACAAAAGGAAAAGAAAAAGAGAUAAUAACGACUAAUAUAUACUGUCUAGUAAUAACAAAAGAUAUCCGCAUACAAGUUUGAGCUCAACAUGCACAAAAACAAGUAAAUUAUGAGGAAAAUUUUAAAAAUCCUAACAAAGAAACAGAGACAAUCCAAAAUUUUAUUUCUUGAGCUCAUAUGCGUAUUAUUGCAUUUCCAAUUCAAGGCUUCUUAUCAUAACCUUAACCAUGCAAAUUCAAGUGUUUUGCUUGCAUAUAUUUUCUAUUCACAAUCAAAAGGACCAUUAUAAAAGAAAAUGAAGGCAACAUAAAUCAAGACUUGUGAUUGUUCUAACCGGUAGAGGUUUUAAAGCAUUGCUAAGCAACAAGAACAUACUUGGCAAUAUGUGUCAGGCAAUACCCAAAAAUUGUUUGUUGAUACAUUUCUUGGCAGAUGAACUUCCACUUACGUUCUUAUGUUUGCACAAGGUAUUAAGGGCAGCAUUCAAAUUUGAAUUAAAGAUAGAAAAUAAUUGAACAAGUGAAACAGAAUAAGCACCGACCGGAACCAUAAAGAUGAUGCGAACAAUGAAUCUCUGGUAAGUAGGUUCAGUAUAAUUUAAGAGAUGCCUGUAGAUGUGGAAAACGGCCAAUGCGAUUGCUCCAGCAGUGCAAAAGAAGGCAACAAAGCUGUAGUAAAAAGGAACCAAUUCCGCCAUAGCAAGAAACUAAUCCACCAACACCAAAUCAACACCUCCCCCAGAAACGAUAUUUCUAAAAAAUGAAAAAUAUAAGAAGCCGUAUGAUUGGCCUCCUCGUCUUCAGAUAGGCGGAGGAGGCUGACGGCGGAAGAACGAAUUCAGAGUGAAGGAGAAAUUAGCAAAAUCGUAACCCUAACUUCAUUGUGAAGAAAAUGAAAAGCGAAUGGACGAAUUUUGCUGAAUUAUUAGCGAUUUGAAGAGGACUGUAGAAGGAGGCGAGAUUUGAUUAGUGAUGAGUAAAAAGAAAGAUUAGGGAAGUUAAAAAAGAUUGAUUAGAUUUAAUGAGAAAGCGAGUUUAGGGUGAAAAUUGGGGAGAGAGUUGAGAUCUGAAAGAAAGGGAGAUAAAAUCAAAGGAGGAGGCAAAGGAAUAACAACUGGCUGGUGGCGGUUGAGGAGGAGGAAGAGGAUGAGAUGAGUCGGAGCGCUCCACUAGCACCCAAUAACGGCAGCUCGUUGUUGUCCCGCUGUCUGUAGAGUAUCGCUGGGAGAAA
This 3193-nucleotide unclassified non-coding RNA is filed under the name Hevea brasiliensis (rubber tree). Lineage: Eukaryota; Viridiplantae; Streptophyta; Magnoliopsida; Malpighiales; Euphorbiaceae. The record is from RNAcentral.